This 73-nucleotide transfer RNA is filed under the name Gelidium sclerophyllum. RNAcentral's name for it is "tRNA-Pro". It matches the Rfam family "tRNA". From Rfam's summary of the family: Transfer RNA (tRNA) molecules are approximately 80 nucleotides in length. Their secondary structure includes four short double-helical elements and three loops (D, anti-codon, and T loops). Further hydrogen bonds mediate the characteristic L-shaped molecular structure. tRNAs have two regions of fundamental functional importance: the anti-codon, which is responsible for specific mRNA codon recognition, and the 3' end, to which the tRNAs corresponding amino acid is attached (by aminoacyl-tRNA synthetases). tRNAs cope with the degeneracy of the genetic code in two manners: having more than one tRNA (with a specific anti-codon) for a particular amino acid; and 'wobble' base-pairing, i.e. permitting non-standard base-pairing at the 3rd anti-codon position. The record is from RNAcentral. Lineage: Eukaryota; Rhodophyta; Florideophyceae; Gelidiales; Gelidiaceae.
UAGGGUAUAACGAAAUAGGUAUCGUGUUUGCUUUGGGAGUAAAAAGUUACAGGUUCGAGUCCUGUUACCCUAA